AAACUUUCUCUCUUGGCGGGGGGGAGGGGGGAGGUAGAUUUAGGAUGACUUUUCAAUUAUUCAACAGUGUUGGGAUGAAAAUGGGGAAUCCAGAUGAACACACAAAAAAAAUUAUUUUCAUGUAUCUGUCAUUGCAUUUGUUGCUCAUCCUACGUUCUCUUCUUUUUUUCCCCAUCUUUUGUGUACAAAUCAUCAUCUGUUGUGAACAUACUAUUUAACUGGCACCAGAGGUAUACUAAGGGAGGAGCGGGUGUUGGGAGCCACCCACCCUUGCAGGACUAAGUAUUCUAUCAAUGACGCUGUUCAGAAUUGCAUAGUGAUAAUAAGAAGUAGAUAGGUUUUUAGUAAAUGAUAUUAUUCAUAGGUUUUCUACCAUCAAAGCACCCCUCAUUGAAGCACCUGAAUUAAACUUUCUCCAGCUAACCAUUGGCAUGUCGCUGACUGGCACUUUGCUAAACACACUGCGUGCAUUCAUUAACUCGUUUAAUCUCCACAGCAGCCCAGUGCACGUAGGUGUCAUUUCUGUCUCAAACAUGAGGAAAGUGGCACAGAGGGGUUCGGUAUCUCGCCACAGCUACAGGGGGGGCAGAACCAGGAUUAAAUACGCUUAUUAAUAUGACUUUUUCAUGCAUUUUCUAUCUUUCUUAGGCUCCAGAGUCCACCAAGUUUCACCCCAGGUGGAAUUAGCAUACCCUGCGUAGCACAGUAGGACUAGCAGCUCUGACACAAAACUCACAUGGACUGGACUCCAGUCUCCAAGAGCUCAAAGCUGCAGGGACCCCUGGGGAGGGGGUGCAGUUGCAAGAUCAGUGAUAGAAGAGCUGAAAUGCACAUUUAAAUCUUUUAGGUGUUUCUCAUCUUUGGAGCCACUGAUCGAGGGAGAUAACCUCGUGGCUAGGUCAGCGUUGGGAAGGAGGAAGUGCCAGCAGCUAACCAACGAAUGUUGCCCUGGAACAGACUCCCCAGAAUCUUUAAGACCAGGGUGUCCAGCACUGGGCUGUGGCCCCGAGCCUAGCCCAGGAAGUGUGUGAUCACGAUCACCAGUGUGCAGCAGAGGAGCCAAGCUGAUAAAGCCGGUGAAACUGGAAGGAAAAAAAAAGACAAAAAGAGUAGCUUCAUUUCCAAAAUAGAGCUGUGAAGUAGCUUAAGGUUGAUCUGGCUGGGACUGAGGGAUCUUGGAACCUUAAAAAUCAGGAGCGAUUUUAACUUGUGAUCGAUUUACUGGCGUGUAGGCCAUAGUAUAAGCGUCGUAACUGCAGUACGGACGUGUGAGUGCUUAGUGGGUGCUCGGCACUGUUUCAAGUACAUUCUGUCCACAGACUUCACGGUCUCCUAUGUAUACCCGUAAUCUUCCAUUUUCUUUCCAUCUCUCAUUUUGGGUCAAUAUGCAAUUUAGUGCCGCCUUCUUCAGGAGGAGGUCCACUAAGGCAAGAUUAGAAG
Long non-coding RNA from Canis lupus familiaris (dog), 1440 nucleotides. RefSeq lists it as uncharacterized. The record is from RefSeq and is a predicted model, not a curated record. The transcript has 3 exons. NCBI's taxonomy places the organism in Eukaryota, Metazoa, Chordata, Mammalia, Carnivora, Canidae.